This 1496-nucleotide long non-coding RNA is filed under the name Homo sapiens (human). RNAcentral's name for it is "non-protein coding lnc-TCP10-5:1". The record is from RNAcentral. Lineage: Eukaryota; Metazoa; Chordata; Mammalia; Primates; Hominidae.
UUCCUGUGCGAACAGGCUUGGGAGGUGUGGGAGCUUCACUGCCUCUUAACUCCAGCCAGGCUCUCAGUCUCCCUGAGGACAAGAUGGAGAAAUGUAGGUAAGUCUGAAAUUUGUAGGGCAGGUGGGCAGGCUGGCAGUUCCAGCAGGAGCUGAUAUUGCAGUCUGGAGUCUGAAGGUGGCCUGGAGACAGAAUUCCUUCCACUCCGGGGGACUGUGGACUUUCCCUCUUAAGGCCUUCAACAGACUGACGAUGAGGGACAUGUAGGUGAAAAAUACUUGCCUACAAGGAGAAGAGGUUCAAGAAUGAGCUGCAGGGACAGUGGGUCUUUCUCAAGCAGCACUGGGCAUGGUGUGUGGGCAAGGGAGAGGACUGCAAGGGCCCAGUCAUGUCUCUGAGUCUGGCUGUCACCCGCCGGCAGGGGCCAGGCUCACCAGAUUCCAUGUGAAGCAGCUGGGGACUCUGGGCUGAUUGAGGUUGACUCGUGCCAGGGCAAACUCUCAUGCUUGGCUUUCAGUUGUGUGAUGGAUUCCCGGGGCUGCCGUCCCAUAACUACAUUGGCCAGCUGGUGAUCCUGGUCCAGUUAGUUGCUUCCUGAAUCUAUAUGACUUUAUCUAUAAAAGGUCAGGUUAAAGCUAUAAGAGUUUUGUGAAGCCCAUAUGAAACAGUGUGUGAAAGCACUUGGCACAGUGCCUGACACCCAGGAGGCUUACUUGAAUGUGGGGUGCUCCUGAUGCCGAUGGUGAUGGUGAUGACUGUGAUGGUGGUGGUGAUGAUGGUGAUGAUGAUGAUGGUGGUGAUGAUGAUGGUGAUGAUAAUGAUGGUGAUGAGGUGAUAAUGACAGUGAUAGUGAUGAUGAUGAUGACGAUGAUGGGCUUUUUUUGUUCCCAUUCUGAUGAUGGUGGUGAUCAAGAUGCUGAUGACGAUGAUGGUGAUGAUGUGAUAAUGACUGUGAUAGUGUUGACGAGUGAUGACAGUGAUGAUGGUGAUGGUGAUGACUGUGAUGGUGGUGGUGAUGAUGGUGAUGGUGAUGAUGGUGGUGAUAAUGAUGGUGAUGAGGUGAUAAUGACAGUGGUAGUGAUGAUGACGGUGAUGAUGGUGAUGGUGGUGAUGAUGGUGAUGAUGGUGAUGGUGGUGAUGAUGGUGAUGAUGAUGGUGAUGAUAAUGAUGGUGAUGAUGAUGAUGGUGAUGAGGUGAUGAUGAUGAUGGUGAUGAGGUGAUAAUGACAGUGGUAGUGGUGAUGAUGGUGAUAAUGACAGUGAUGGUGAUGAUAGUGAUGUUGGUGACAAUGACGAUGGUGAUGAUAAUAAUGAUGGUGAUAAUGAUAAUGGUAAUGGAGAUGAUGAUGACAGUGAUGAUGGCAAUGGUGGUGAUGAUGGUGAUGAUGAUGAUGGUGGUGAUAAGGAUGGUGAUGAGGUGAUAAUGACAGUGAUGGUGAUGAUAGUGAUGGUGGUGCUGACAAUGAUGAUGGUGAUGGUGGCAGUGAUGAUGGUGAUGA